UAAAUACUCUCUCUGUCCAGAAAUACUUAUCGCAGGGAUGAAUGUAUCUGGACGUAUUUAAGUUCCAGAUACACCUAUUUUUAUCCAUUUCUUCGACAAAUAUCUCUAGACGAAGGGAGUAUUCA
This is a non-coding RNA of Triticum aestivum (bread wheat), 125 nucleotides long. Lineage: Eukaryota; Viridiplantae; Streptophyta; Magnoliopsida; Poales; Poaceae. The record is from Rfam.